This 405-nucleotide ribosomal RNA is filed under the name uncultured bacterium. RNAcentral's name for it is "partial 16S ribosomal RNA". It matches the Rfam family "Bacterial small subunit ribosomal RNA", at positions 30 to 526 of the family's 1533-position model. The record is from RNAcentral.
AUUGAACGCUAGCGGCAUGCUUUACACAUGCAAGUCGAACGAGUGGCGGACGGGUGAGUAAUAUAUCGGAACCUGCCCAGUAGCGGGGGAUAACUACUCGAAAGAGUGGCUAAUACCGCCUACCAUUGGAUCUGCCGAUAUCGGAUUAGCUUGUUGGUGGGGUAAAGGCUCACCAAGGCGACGAUCCGUAGCUGGUUUGAGAGGACGACCAGCCACACUGGGACUGAGACACGGCCCAGACUCCUACGGGAGGCAGCAGGGGGGAAUUUUGGACAAUGGGGGAAACCCUGAGGCAGCCAUCCCGCGUGUAUGAGAAGGCCUUCGGGUUGUAAAGUACUUUUGGCAGGGAAGCGGUAUCUGCAGAAUAAGCACCGGCUAACUACGUGCCAGCAGCCGCGGUAAUUC